This 253-nucleotide ribosomal RNA is filed under the name uncultured bacterium. RNAcentral describes it as "partial 16S ribosomal RNA". It matches the Rfam family "Bacterial small subunit ribosomal RNA", at positions 524 to 776 of the family's 1533-position model. The record is from RNAcentral.
UACAGAGGGGGCAAGCGUUGUUCGGAAUUACUGGGCGUAAAGGGCGCGUAGGCGGCCUGUUAAGUCGAACGUGAAAUCCCCGGGCUCAACCCGGGAACUGCGUCCGAUACUGGCAGGCUUGAAUCCGGGAGAGGGAUGCGGAAUUCCAGGUGUAGCGGUGAAAUGCGUAGAUAUCGGGAGGAACACCAGUGGCGAAGGCGGCUGCCUGGAGCUUUGCUGACGCUGAUGCGCGAAAGCGUGGGGAGCGAUCCGG